This 15267-nucleotide long non-coding RNA is filed under the name Nicotiana benthamiana. Its description in RNAcentral is "long non-coding RNA (NBEN_LNC024467)". Lineage: Eukaryota; Viridiplantae; Streptophyta; Magnoliopsida; Solanales; Solanaceae. The record is from RNAcentral.
CCAACCUUGCCAAAGCCUGAGAUCCCAACUGUGCCGAAGCCUGAGCUUCCAACCAUACCAAAGCCUGAAAUACCAGCUGCUCCAAAGCCUCAGGUUCCUAUUAUGCCAAAACCUGAAGUACCAACUGUGCCAAAACCUGAGCUACCAUCUAUCCCGAAGCCUGAGUUACCAACUUUACCAAAGCCUGAGGUCCCAGCUAUGCCCAAGCCUAAGCUACCAGUUGCCCCAAAACCUGAGCUUCCUGCUGUGCCGGAGCCUGAGAUCCCAUCAAUGCCAAAACACGAGCUUCCUCCCCUGAAAAAGCCAGAAAUCCCAACAGUGCCAAAGACCAAAGUUCCUCAAGCUAUGAUAAAGCCUGAAGUUCCAGCUUUGCCAAAACCCGAGGUACCAAUUAUGCCAAAGCCAGAAAUCCCAGAACUACCAAAGCUAAAAAUCCCGGAGCUACCAAAGCCAAAAAUACCAGAGCUUCCAAAGCUAGAAGUCCCAACUAUGCCAAAGCCUGAAAUCCCAGAACUUCCUAAACCAGAAGAGAUACCUUUUCCUUCACUUUCUCCACCACACAAACCCGCUACUCCUUGAGUAAUUAUAAUACUGUUUGCUCUAUUAGAAGGUACCCAACUGUGUUUUGAGAUUUCCUUCUUUGUCUGUGAAGUUUGCUGCGUGGGCAUGGCAUGGAGAUAGUUUGGCACAACAUAUUGGAUACUUUCUGCUAGGAGUAGAAAUUAUGAUUCUUUUAUAGUAUUUCAAUUGCAUGUACCAUGUUUAUCGUGUUAUUAUACUAUAUGAUUGUUUUAUAUACUUUCUAUACGAUGUAAUAUAAAGCUAUGAUCUAUAUCACUUUCUAGAGUUACUUUGAUUUAGUUCCUAUCGUUGGCCAUAUCUGAUUUUGCUCAAUAGUUCCCCCCCNNNNNNNNNNNNNNNNNNNNNNNNNNNNNNNNNNNNNNNNNNNNNNNNNNNNNNNNNNNNNNNNNNNNNNNNNNNNNNNNNNNNNNNNNNNNNNNNNNNNNNNNNNNNNNNNNNNNNNNNNNNNNNNNNNNNNNNNNNNNNNNNNNNNNNNNNNNNNNNNNNNNNNNNNNNNNNNNNNNNNNNNNNNNNNNNNNNNNNNNNNNNNNNNNNNNNNNNNNNNNNNNNNNNNNNNNNNNNNNNNNNNNNNNNNNNNNNNNNNNNNNNNNNNNNNNNNNNNNNNNNNNNNNNNNNNNNNNNNNNNNNNNNNNNNNNNNNNNNNNNNNNNNNNNNNNNNNNNNNNNNNNNNNNNNNNNNNNNNNNNNNNNNNNNNNNNNNNNNNNNNNNNNNNNNNNNNNNNNNNNNNNNNNNNNNNNNNNNNNNNNNNNNNNNNNNNNNNNNNNNNNNNNNNNNNNNNNNNNNNNNNNNNNNNNCCCCCCCCUUCCCCCAACUCCCCUUCGUUUAUUUAAAACCUAUUACCACUUUUUUCCUUCACAAAGUGAUGGAAAGGAUGAAUUAACAUAUUUAAGCGCCGGUAGAAUAAUCUGAUCUCAAUUACAAGAACUAAAUUGAUUGUUCAAGCAUUUGUUGCUUUCUGUCUCAUUCAACCUAAGGCUUAUUGGAAACAUGUGACACAAUUUCGCCUGAGAGAGAGAUUGUGCUUGUGGACCGAUUGAUAGUUAUGAACAUAUAAAAUAGCUAAAAUUUCUCUAUCACAUUCCUUAAUUAAAAAAAUCUUUAACACUGUGACCAUCUCAUCUAACAUAUAAGUUUAAGUUUAUUCCCCCAACAUAUGGAAUUUUUCUUAAUCAUAGGUGGCAAUGAGUGUUGAAUCUAGGACCUCUAUCUCCUCUAAUCCAUGUUGAAUUGCAUGGCCAUUUCAUCUAAAAGCAUAAAAAGGCACAUUUUCACUUGAUCAAAUCUUCAGUAAUCGUGACUUUUUGAAUUAUCUUUUUUCCUUUUUCAUUUCUCCAGUACUAAACCAAUAUACAUAUUUCUAUUUCUAGUAAACAAUCAAUCUCUUUUUGCUGAACUUCCUAAACUUUCCCAUGGGUUAAAAGCAAAAGCUGAAGCGGAGCACACACUAGGGUAGCUACAAUUACUAUAUACAUUGUACAUUCGAGAAGCGCGCUCAUGGUUGUGGGAAGAAUUCUAGAUGGGAUAGUCUUGUCUCUCUAUUAAAAGUCAGGAAUUUCUUCUAACACCCUGUUCACUUAUUUGUCUCAAUUUACUUGUAAAAAAAAUCUCAUUAUUUCUUUGCUGAAGGCUGGAUGUGAUAUAACUGUCAAGCACGAGAUCCUUUUACCAAUUAAAACUGCUGUCUACUUUAUAUACAGCCGACUCAUUGUUAUUUUACCUGCUUCAAUAUCGAGCCCAAUGCUAUAUGCAAUGCAGCUAUUCACAACUAUUUGUGUUGCAUCCUCUAAUGGUCAUAUUUACCCCGUUAAAGCAUUACUCCCUUUAGCUCGAUAGAAAUUGUGAUGCAAUAACUUUCCGUUUGACAUUUGUAAUUUAUGUCAAUUUCUUCAGGUGAUACAGGGUUUACCUUCAUAUCAAAAUGAAGUUUUAAAACAGUAAUGUGAACCGAGGACUUUUCUCUUUCUAAAGAAAUAAAAAUUACUCAUAUUGUUUGAUGCACUUUCCUUUUUAGUCUGUUCCAAAAUAAAUGACAUAUUUCUAAAUUUGGAAAUAAUUCAACUUUAAACUCUUUAUUUUACUCUUUUUGCCUUAGUGAGAAGCUUUUAUAGCCACACAAAUGGUAUGACCCCUCAAACCUUUUACCCCUUAAUCUUUUAAGACCACAACUUUUAAAAGUCUUGUUCUUUUUAUUAAACUCCGUGCCGAGUCAAAUUAUCUCAAACAAUAUGAAACGAAGGGAGUAACCACUAAUUAAACCGGGAAUUGUUAUCAGGUUGCCAGCAUAUCAGAUGUUUGUGACAGGUUCAGAGUUUUAGUAUGUUAAUUAGGUAAUCCAAUAAAUUGACUUUUUAAGGUACCAGACCUGAAGCCAAGUGGAUGGGAAGUUCAACUAAUUAGGUCCUUACGUAACAAACAGAAUCUUGAGACUACUAUUUUGCAUGCAUAAAAUCUAUAUAUAGCAAUAGACUUAAAGCAAAUAACACAUCUCCAAGUUUCGUUGAUUCUAUACACAUUCUUCUUUAAGCUUCUAGGAUUUGCAGAAAAAUGGCUCAUCAUUACCAGCUAUCCUCCCUUUUACUGCUUGCAUUUCUCAACUUGUGCUUCAUCCAUGGCCCGAUAACUGGUGCAACUGCACGUCGUCAUCUGGAGACGCCCCUCCCCGAGAUUCCUAAACCAGAGUUCCCUAAAAUUCCAACUUUGCCAAAGCCUGAGAUCCCAGCUGUGCCGAAGCCUGAGCUUCCAACCAUACCAAAGCCUGAAAAACCAGUUGUUCCAAAGCCUGAGAUUCCUAUUAUGCCAAAACCUGAAGUACCAACUGUGCCAAAGCCCGAGCUACCAUCCAUCCCGAAGCCCGAGUUACCAACUUUUCCAAAGCAUGAGAUCCCAGCUGUGCCCAAGCCUAAGUUACCAGUUGCCCCAAAGCCUGAGUUCCCAACUGUGCCAAAGCCUGAGAUCCCAGCAAUGCCAAAACCCGAGUUUCCUCCCCUAAAAAAGCCAGAAAUCCCAACAAUGCCAAAGACCGAGGUUCCUCCAGCUAUAAAAAAGCCUGAAGUUCCAGCUUUGCCAAAGCCCGAGAUACCAAUUGUGCCAAAACCAGAAAUCCCAGAACUACCAAAGCCAAAAAUCCCGGAGCUACCAAAGCCAAAACUACCAGAGCUUCCAAAGCCCGAAGUCCCAGCUAUGCCAAAGCCUAAAAUCCCAGAACUGCCUAAACCAAAAGAGAUACCUUUUCCUUCACUUUCUCCACCUCACAAGCCCGCUACUCCUUGAGUAAUUACAAUGCACCCAAUCGUGUUUUGAGAUUUCCAUCUUUGUCUGUGAAGUUUGCUACGAGGGCAUGGCAUGGAGAUAGUUUGGCACAACAUAUUAAUACUUUCUGCAAGAAGUGGAAAUUAUGAUUCUUUUAUAGCAUUUAAUUGGAUGUACCAUGUUUCAUUGGAUGUAUCAUGUUUAUCGUGUCAUUAUAUCAUGAAUGUUUUAUGUACUUUCAAUACAGUGUUUAUCUAUGUCACUUUUUAGAGUUAUUUUUAUUUAGUUCCUAUCUUUGGCCAUAUCUGAUUUUACUCAAUUGCCUUUUUCCCCUACUCCCCUUCGUUUAAUUAAAACCUAUUACUACUUUCUUCCUUCACAAAGAGAUGGAAAGGAUGAAUUAACAUAUUUAAGCGCCGGUAGAAUAAUCUGAUCUCAAAUACAAGAACUGAACCAAAUAUUCAAGCAUUUGUUGCUUUCUGUCUCAUUCAUCCUAAUGCACACCGGAUUCAGUUACAAAUUUUGCAUGCUCUAAAAGAAACAUAAAAAACAAUGGGGAUACUUGCUUCUUCUUAAGGGGGAGAUUGUUCUUAUGGAGCAAUUUAUAGUUAUGGACAAAUGAACUAGCUAAAAUUUCUCUUAGCACAUUCCUUAUAAAAACAAUUCUCUAAAACAUUAUUGCGCGACCAUCUCAUCUAAAAUUCAAGUUUAUUUCCCUAACAAUAUGAAAACUUUUUAGUAAUAGGUCGUGGUAAGUCUUGAAUCUCGUACCUCUAUCUGCUUUAAUCCAUGUUAAAUUGUGUGACCAUGUCAUCUAAAAGAAAACUAACUGUUAGAAAGGGUACAUUUCCAUUUAGUUGAACAAAUCUUCAAUAAUCUUAACCUUUUGAAUUAUCUUUUUUCAUUUCUCCAGUACUAAACCAAUAUGGAGUACAUAUUUCUAUUUCUAGUAAACAAUCAGUCUCUUUCGGUGAACUUCCUAAACUUUCCGACGGAUUAAAGACAAAAGCUGAAGCGGAGCUCACACUUCAGGGUAGUUACAACGAGAAUAGAUAUUGUACCUUUGAGCGGUGCACUCAUGGUUGUGAGAAGAACUCUAGAGUGGAUAAUCUUGUCUCUAUUAAAAGUCGGGAACUGUGUAGCUGAAUCUCUUCUAAUACCUUGUUUAUGUUUUUGUCUGAAUUUACUUGUAUUAACAAUCUCAUUGUUUCUUUGAUGAAAGGCUGAAUGUGAUAUAACUGUCAAGCGCCAGAUCCGUUUACCAAUUGUAAAAGAACCUUCUGCUGUCUGCUUUCUGUACAGCUGCCUCAUUGUUAUUUUACCUGGCUCAAUAUCGAGAUCAAUGCUAUAUGCAAUGCAACUAUUCACGUGUCUGGAUUUGAUAUGCUAUUGUUUCAGCUAUUGUCUAUUUUCAUUUCCUGGAGAAUCGUACUCUAAACUUUCAAAAGUGUAUCAUUUGAACCGAAAGAAUAAUCGGAUUAUGCAAAGUCUACGCCAUUGUGGUAAGUUUUUGCUCUGUAAAACCAAGUUCUUUUCUCCCUGUGUUUUAAUCCGUUAGGCUUGAAGUCUCACUCUUUUGCCUUCCUUUGUACUUACAAUUCUAAUAUUAGCUAGUUUAGAAAAUAGAAUAACGGGUAAUAUGUGACUAAUGAGGUAAGUUUACGGUUCACUUCUGGUCGUCCAUUUCAUCAUGUUUGCAAUACCUUUUUGUUUGACAUUUGUAAUUCCUGUCAAUUUCCUCAGGUGGCCAUUACGUACAUACGACCAAAAUGAAGAUUUACAGUAAAUGCACCAAUGACUUUUCUUUUUCUAAAGAAAUAAGAACAGCUAAUUAAACCGGGAAUUGGUAUCAGGUUGACAGCAUAUCAUAUAUUGGUGACAGUUUCAGACUUUUAAUAUGUUAUUAGGUAAUCCACAUUGACUUUUUGAGGUACCAGAGAUUACGCCAAGUGGAUGAGAAGUUCAACUACUCAGGUCCUUACGUAACAAACAAAAUCUUGAAGCUACUGUUGCAUGCGUUUUAAAACCUAUAUAUAGCAAUAGACUUAAAGCCAGUAGCACACAUCCCAGUUUCAUUAAUUCUACACAUUUUCUCUAAGCUUCUAGGAUCUGCAGAAAAAUGGCUCACCAUUACCAGCUAUCCUCCCUCAUGCUACUUGCAUUUCUCAACUUGUGCUUCAUGCAUGGCCCCAUAACUGGUGCAACUGCACGGCGUCUACUAGAGACACCUCUACCUGAGAUUCCUAAACCAGAAUUACCAAAAGUUCCAACCUUGCCAAAGCCUGAGAUCCCAACUGUGCCGAAACCUGAGAUUCCAGCCAUUCCAAAGCCUGAGAUCCCAACUGUGCCGAAACCUGAGCUUCCAACCAUCCCAAAGCCUGAAAUACCAGUUGUCCCGAAGCCUGAGACUCCUAUUAUGCCAAAACCUGAAGUACCAAUUGUGCCAAAGCCCGAGCUACCAUCCAUCCCGAAGCCUGAGUUACCAACUUUACCAAAGCCUGAAGUACCAACUGCGCCAAACCCUGAGCUACCAACCAUCCAAAAACAUGAGUUACCAACUUUGCCAAAACCUGAAGUACCAACUGUGCCUAAGCCAGAGACUGUCCCGAAGCCUGAGAUUCCUAUUAUACCAAAACCUGAAGUACCAACUGUGCCAAAGCCCGAGCUACCAUCCAUCCCGAAGCCUGAGAUCCCAACUGUGCCGAAACCUGAGCUUCCAACCAUCCCAAAGCCUGAAAUACCAGUUGUCCCGAAGCCUGAGACUCCUAUUAUGCCAAAACCUGAAGUACCAAUUGUGCCAAAGCCCGAGCUACCAUCCAUCCCGAAGCCUGAGUUACCAACUUUACCAAAGCCUGAAGUACCAACUGCGCCAAACCCUGAGCUACCAACCAUCCAAAAACAUGAGUUACCAACUUUGCCAAAACCUGAAGUACCAACUGUGCCUAAGCCAGAGAUACCAGCUGCCCCAAAGCCUCCAACUUUGCCAAAGCAUGUGAUCCCAGCUGUGCCAAAACCCGAGCUUCCUGCUAUGCCAAAGCCUGAGAUUCCAACAAUGCCAAAACCCGAGUUUCCUCUCUUGAAAAAGUCAGAAAUCCCAGCAGUGACAAACACGAAGGUUCCUCCAACAAUAAAAAAGCCUGAAGUUCCAGCUUUGCCAAAGCUAGAAAUCCCAGAGCUACCAAAGCCAAAACUCCCAGAGCUUCCAAAGCCUAAAAUCCCCGAACUGCCUAAACCAGAAGUUCCAGCUAUGCCAAAGCCUAAAAUCCCCGAACUGCCUAAACUAACUUUUCCUUCACUUUCUCCCCCAUACAAACCCUCUACUCCUUGAGUAAUUACGUUCACUCUAUUAGAAAGUACCCAAACUGAUGCUUUGAGAUUGCUAUCUCAGUCUAUGAAGUUUGCUGCAUGGGCCGUGACAUGGAGAAAUUUUGGAAGAUCAUACUGGAUACUUUCUGCUAGGUGUAGAAUAUAAAUUCAUUUGUCGUAUUUGAUGUGCCAUGUUUCGCCGGUCAUUAUAUUGUAUACGAGUGUUUUAUGUUCUUUUUAUAUAAAGAUAUGAUCUAUUUCACAGUUUGGACUUACUUCGAUUUAGUUCCUUUCGUUGGCCAUCUCUGAUUUCAAUCAUUGUUUGUCUGAUUUUUCCCACUUCUGUUUUUCUCUAUCCUAUUACUACUUUUUUCCAUUCUCAUUUGACAUUUUGAUGUAUUUAAGAACCAAACCCGGAGAUUUAGGAUGUGUUUUGGUAUAACGGAAAUUAAUUUUCAUAAAAAAUAUUUCCUUAGAAAAUAGAUAGUAAUUUUAUUUAUUUUUCUGUGUUAAGUACACAAAUUAAGAAAAAUAACGUCUCAAGAGUAUUCAUAAAUAAUUUAGAUACAAUAAAUAUGAAGCCAUAAACUUCCGAACCAACAAACUUCCGAACCUACAAAUUUCAUAAACUUUCGAAACUGCUAACUUUCGAACCCGUAAACUUUAUAAAUAUUUCUAAACCCGUAAAUUACUUUAAAUAUUUAACUAAAAUUAAUCUAAAGUAACAAAGAGAUCAAGAAAACAAGUUGGUGAAUUAUAGAGACGAAUUUAAUAUGAGUGAAUAUUCUAGAGCUAUGGGUUAGCUAACAAUUCCGUUGAGUUUUUAAUUUAAAUCGUCUAAUUAAUUUAUCUGAUUAAUUGGUUGACAGAGUUAAUAUUGCUCGUAGCCUUCUCCCGAAGUACAACUCGCCUAUUCAAGCUAACCUAAAGCCUAUAUUCCUAUGGAAUUAAAAUUAACAAGAACACAUUUAUAAUUCCUGUAUAGUAAUCAAGCAAACCGAUUAGGCAUAUUCAACCGAUUAGGUAUAUUCCUAUGGAAUUAGAAUUAACAAGAACGCAUUUAUAAUUCCUGUAUAGUAAUCAAGCAAGGCGAUUAGGUAUAUUCCUAUCCUAACCGCAAAUUCGCUCCCCCCUCCCCCAAGAGUUAAGAUUUUGCUCUACUCAAUCUUAUAUGCAAUCUAGAAUUCCUUCUCUCGAGUUCAAUCCUAGAUCUGUAGAUAGUAUUUAAUUGGUGAUCAAGCAAUCAAAUAAUUUAGCGCAAGAUUGAAUAAAUAAACCAAUAUGAUAAAAUAAUAGGAACAAUCUAAGCUUCAAACUACAACGUUCAUGUAGCAUCCAAAACUCUAGAACUAAUAAACUGUGAGAUUAAAUGAAGAGAAGAGAAGAAAAACUAGUUAGGAGCCUCCUCCAAAGCGUGGUGUGUUCCUCCACGUGAAUUCCCCUUCAAAAUAUGUUCCCUAGGUCUAAGAUCUGUCAUAUGUAUGUCCCACCUCUCUAAAAUAGCGUUUUACAUGUAUUUAUACCAAGUAGGGUCGGGUCCAGAGGGAACAUCUGUCAAAAGUAUGCCCUACCUCUCCAAAAUAAUUAUACCAAGUAGGGUCAGGCCCAGAUAAAAACACCUUCUCCCGCGCGAAAUAGGACUCUGGCUCUGUAAGUUUUGUACAGACGCGCCGCGCCAUGCAGCGCGCUAACGGAGUUUAUCGGCAAGCUGUACUUUUCUUGUCUUGCGACAUUUUACACUGCUGCGUCGUGCCUUGCGGCGUCCUAUGCGGCGCUACAGUUUAAUUUUCUCAGAGUGAACAUAUUUCGUCCUCUUUUAACAUCCAGACAUGGUACACCACCUCUGAACACGAUUCCGACUUGAUUCCUUGGGCUUUUACUCAGACUUUAAAGCUCUAAAUCACUUGAAUACAUUCCAUAACGCAUACAUAGAUCGAAAUCACUCCUACAAGGCAUAAAAUACAUAUUUAGUGCAACACACUAGCGAUUAAAGCUCAAACUCAAUUAAAGUACAGUAAAUUAGAGUGUAAUAAGCGUCUAAAAUACACAAUAAUAGCCCAUCAUCAACACCCUACACUUAAAUCAUUGCUCGUCCUCGAGCAAUCAAACAUUACUUUAUAUAGACACAAUCUUUUUUAAACAAUUCUCCUAAAUCAUCACACCAAGAAUAUUUAAAAUAGACUAAGCACAAGAGUGUAACAUAUUCACCUCAAGAUCUGACUCACAAGUAUCACGCAUUAUUCACAACUCACUCACUUACUCUAACAUAGAAGUCACGGAAACUGCCUUUCCUUCGUGAACCAGGUGCUCUCACACAACAAAAGUGAGUAGUUUCACACAAUAAAAUUUAAGAACACUUAGGAACACAAGAUAAAAAGAAUUCACUCACUCUCAGAAAUAACAUUCAUAUGCCACAGAAGAUGCAUCAUAGGCUUAACUGUAGUGUAUUACUCUACUAAUCGAGCUUAUUCAGUCUAGGAUCAAGUAUGACUUUAUUUGGUUGUAAUGUAGGCUGCAGGAUGGGUAGGAUACAUUUAGAUAUAAUAGUGACUAUACAUCCCUAAGCACUUCAAUACAUACACUUUAACAUUGAAAAGCCCACACUUAUGUCGAACCAUAACUCCACAUUCACACCAAUAUAUAUUAACUCUCCACUUCUUUAAGUACAAUUAUAUCAAGAGUCACCACCACCAUCUAGAAUUAUUUUUCGCAACAAUACAACUAAUUUUUUUUCUUUUCAAUUCACGUGGCUCUUACUUUUUCAAAACAAUGCACCUUUCUCCUUUUUCAUUAGUUCAAAUCAAAAGUCAAACCAACCACCCCCACUUUAACUUUUAUAAAGUUCAUAACAAUUCAAAUGCUCAUGAGAGGUGAAAAGGUUCAAAUAGAUGGUAGUUCAAAAAAAUAGGCAAGACGUGUAAUGUGGUUGCCAAAGAAACAGGAUUAUAGACUCAAAUAGGUUAACAAUGAUAAUAAAAAUUAGGCGGGUAUAUAUAUAUGGCUCAACAAAGAAACGCAUAUAUCACUUCCAAGACUGAACAAAACUACUAUUUCGCUUUGCAAACACAUGGGGCAAGUUCUAGACAUCAAAUGCAUUGCACAGAAUAACACAAAACCUUGCACACACAUAACACAUAAAUCACUCAGGAUUGGACACAUCAAGAUACUCUAGUCAAAGAAGUUAAGCAAAGUUAAGAUCAUACAAUUUAAGGUACUUAUAAAAGAGUUAAAAACUGAGCCUAAGCGUUACAACCAAAGUACUCACUAUUCUCAAGGCAUAACAAUUCAAGAGAUAUUGCUUCAAUUCAAUUCACAUCACCAUGGCUUCUCUCCUAAAAAAAAUAAAAAUACCUACAUCCGGUUCAAACAAAACCCUUGGAAACGAACCGCAACACAAAGAAAAACCAAUGGGAAAUUACUACACUACCUACAAAAAAAUCUUUUUGUCAUUUUUCUUUAGACUUAAAUCCCUCAAGAAAACUGCCUAGGAGAUCCAUCGUCGGAAAAAAUUCAAUUUACUUUUUUACGUUUUUCUAAAUACAAAAAAAUUAUUUAAUUAAACUAACACAACUAAAAUAGCAUAGAAAGUCACUUAGACAUUCUCCUCGCCCCACACUUUAAAUUGUGCAAUGUUCUCAAUGCACACUAUAACUAAUAAGAGGGUAAAAGAGACUCCCUGAUAGGCCAAAGGCCGAAACAUUAGUAUCUCACGAGAUACUCAUACUUCUCCCAGGUAUGCUCCUUUGUGCGGGUACCUCACACUUUGUUUUAACCAAAUGCUCUCCUUUACACAUGCCUAUUGGCUAUGACUUCAUGCUCCUACUCCUACAAAAUACAAAAAUAAUAAUACAAAUAUAAUACAAUAAAAAAAUACAAAAGGAAAAAAAUAAAAUUGAGUUGCCUCCCAAGAAGCAUUUGAUUUAACGUCGCGGCACGACUCCAUCACUUUCAUCACUUUUCCUUCCACUUAGAAGAUAUGAAUUGUGCCCCCAAUUUGGCAUCAAUUUUUCUAUUAUGUUCAUGAGGCGGUGGUGUGAAAAUAAAGAAACCAAACAAAAUAUGUCGCAUCUUCCACUACUUGACCCUUAAGUGAGGAAUGUUGUUUUGUUUCCUUGGCAUCACAAACUUCAGAAUGUAAGGGUCUUGUUCUUCAUCUAUACAUCUCUCCAAGGGUUCGAUCUCCAUGUCUUCAUCCAAACAUAAUGUAGAAAAAUGUAUAAAAUGAGGACCAACACGCCCCAACUCUAAAACUGCAUUAUUUUUUACAUCCUCAGUAAUACAUACUCCCUCAACCUCGGCAUCAUCAACAAAAACAUGGUCUAGUGAUUGGUAUCCUCGUUUUAGCUCCUCAAUUUGGCUUAAAAGAAUUUUUUCAGCUUCACAAAACUCAUCAUUAAAUUGUUGGACAUUACAUGCAUCAACCUUUGCACUCAAUUGGGCUUCCAAGUCGCGAAUAAAUUUUGCCAAAGUGAUUGAUCUCUUGUCCCAGUUCAGCUCUUCCUUCUAUAAAGUGUUAUAUCUCAUUCGUAAUUUUCUCACGGAAACCUCCAUAUUCCUCUAAUAAUUUCAUGUGCACAUCAGGAAUGCGAACAUCAUGUUCAACAUCUUACAAUUCGUUACUCCUUUCAAACUCACAAGAAUUAUAAUUAGAAUCAACACAAGAAGGGACUGGAGUAGGAUAACAACACGUAGGACAAUUGUUCCAAUUUCCAUCACAAAUAGUACAAGAUGAAAAUGGUGCACACAACUCAGUAGUAGGAAUAUUUUUACAAUAUUGCCACAAGUGGAGUCCUUUACAAUAUGGACAAGGAUCACAAAAAUAAGAAUAUUUACUAUCCCACCACUUUUCGUUCAAAGAUGUCAUGUAAAAAGAAAUAUAACACUAACUCCACUAAACUAAAAUUAAAAACUGAAAUAGAUAAAAAAGUAAAAAAUUUAAUCUAGUAAAAUAGUUAAUUUCUAAGUCCCCGGCAACGGCACAAAAAAUUUAUUGCUCCCAAACGCACGCGCAAGUAUACGUGGUCGAGAAGUAAUAUAGAAUUGUAAGUCCAGAUAUCGUACCCACAUGGACUUGUGAUUAACUAUCAACUAAAUUAGACCAAAUAAUCCUAAUGUAUAAAUAUUUAACUAAAAUUAAUCUAAAGUAACAAAUAGAUCAAAGAAAAUAAGUUGACGAAUUAUAAAGGCGAAGUUAAUGCGAGUGAAUAUUCUAGAGCUAUGGGUUAGCUAACAAUCCCGUUGAGUUUUUCACUUAAAUCUUCUAACUAAUUUAUCUGGUUUAUUGGUUAACAGGGUUAAUAUUGCUCAUAGUCUUCUCCCGAAGUACAACUCAUCUAUUCAAGCUAACCUAACGCCUAUAUUCCUAUGGAAUUAUAAUUAACAAGAGCACAUUUGUAAUUCCUGUAUAGUAACCAAGCAAGGCGAUUAAGUAUAUUCUUAUCCUAACCGCAAAUCUGCCCCCUUAAGAGUUAAGAUCUUGCUCUACUCAAUCUUAUAUGCAAUCUAGAAUUCCCUCUCCCGAGUUCAAUCCCAGAUUCGUUGAUAGUAUUUAAUUGGUGAUCAAGCAAUCAAAUAAUUAAGCGCAAGAUUGAAUAAAUAAACCAAUAUGAUAAAAUAAUAAGAACAAUCUAAGCUACAAACUAUAACGUUCGUACAACACCCAAAACUUUAGAACUAAUAAACUAUGAGAUUAAAUUAAGAGAAGAGAAGAAAAACUAGUUAGGAGCCUCCUCCAAAGCGUGGUGUGUUCCUCCACGUGAAUUCCCCUUCAAAAUAUGUUCCCUAGGUCUAAGAUCUGUCAUAUGUAUGUCCCACCUCUCUAAAAUAGCGUUUUACAUGUAUUUAUACCAAGUAGGGUCGGGUCCAGAGGGAAACACCUUCUCCCGCCCGAAAUAUGACUCUGUAAAUUUUGUACAGAUGUGGCGCGCCAUGCGGCGCGCUAAUGGAGGUUAUUAGCAAGCUUGACUUUUCUUGUCAGGCAGCAUUUUACACUGCUGCGCUGCGCCUUGCAGCGUCCCAUGCAGUGCGGCAGUGUAAUUUUUUCAAAGUGAACUUAUUUCGUCCUCUUUGAACAUCCGGACUUGGUACACGAUCUCGACUUAAUUCCUUGGAUUUUUACUUAGACUUCAAAGCUCCAAAUCACUUGAAUACAUUCUAUAACACCUACAUAGAUCGAAAUCACUCUUACAAUGCAUAAAAUACAUAUUUAGUGCAAAAUACUAGUGAUUAAAGCUCAAACUCAAUUAAAAUAUAAUAAAUUAAAAUGUAAUAAGCAAUUAAAAUAAACAAUUAUAGCAUAUCAUCACAAGUCAUGAGGCGUUUUCUUUUGCCCGCCUCUGUUUUACUUUCACUAAAUUAGAAAAGCAACAAAUAUAGAAAGGACAUCAAUCACAUUGUGAUUGCAAAUUUAGAGUUAAUAAAAUAACGUGUAAGGUAUUUUUUUAACACAUUUUGCUUCCUGGAUGAUCAUAUUAAUUAGCUGUAGAUCCAACAAUUCUUUAGCUGCAUUGAAAAAUGCGACGCAGAGAUUAAUUUCUUUGCAAGGAAGUUGAAGCAACGGACCAAUACUGUUUUCUAACAAGUGGCAGCUAAUUAGAUGAGAUAAUGACAGGUUUUGACUAUUAUGGCAUAGUAGUAGAUAGUAUAUUGUUAUUUGUUAAUAAACAGAUUUUGAGCUGCCAGAAGAAAAAUUUCAAGAUAAUAUUGGCAGGCAAAUAGAUGAGAAGUUCAACUAACAUAUCCCUUUCCCAACAACCAAAAUAUUGAAGUCCUACUUUUGUUGCAUGAAUGUAAAACCUAUAUAUAGCAACAGCCUUAUAUCCAAUGCCACAUCCAAAUUUCACUGAUUCUAUACACACUCUUCUUUAAGCUGCUAGGAUUUGCAGAAAAAUGGCUCAUCAUUAUCAGCUAUCCUCCCUCUUACUGCUUGCAUUUCUCAAUUUAUGCUUCAUGAAUGGCCACAUAACAUGUGUUACUGCACGCCGCCUUCUGGAGGCGCCCCUCCCUGAUAUUCCUAAACCAGAAUUUCCAAAAGUUCCAACCUUGCCAAAGCCUGAGAUCCCAACUGUGCCGAAGCCUGAGAUUCCAGCCAUACCAAAGCCUGAAAUUCCUGUUAUGCCAAAGCCUGAAGUACCAACUGUGCCGAAGCCUGAGCUGCCAACUGUCCCAAAGCCUGAGUUACCAACUUUACCAAAACCCGAGAUCCCAACUGUGCCAAAGCCCAAGCUUCCAGCUAUGCCAAAGCCUGAGAUCCCAGCAAUGCCAAAACCUGAGUUGACAAACGCACCAAAGCCUGAAAUCCCAAUGGUUCCAAAGCCCGAGAUUCCUACUAUGCCAAAGCCUGAGCUACCAGCUACUCCAAAACCUGAGUUACCAAAUUUCCCGAAGCCUGAGAUUCCAACAGUGCCAAAGCCUGAGAUUCCAGCCGUGCCAAAGCCGGAGAUACCAAAGUUGUCAAAGCCCGAGCUUCCUCGCCUAGAAAAGCCAGAGGUUCCAGCACUGCCAAAGACUGAGCUUCCUCCAGCUAUGACAAAGCCUGAUGUGCCGACUGUGCCAAAGCUCGAGCAACCAGUGGUGCCAAAACCUGAGAUUCCCACUGUGCCAAAACCAGAAAUCCCGGAGCUACCAAAGCCAAAAAUCCCUGAGUUACCUAAGCUAGAAGUUCCAGCUAUCCCAAAACCAAAAACCCCAGAAUUGCCUAAACAAACAAUUCCAACCUCCCCAAGCCUACCAAAGGAGAUACCAUUUCCUUCACUUUCUCCACCAUAUAAACCCGCUACUCCUUGAGUAAUUAUGUAUGGUACUGGUCAUUCUAUUAGAAGGUACAUGAGGUUUUGAGAUGUGCCACCUCAGUCUGUGAAGUUUGCUGCAUGGGUCAUGACAUGGAGUUAAUUUGACAGAACAUAUAUACUGGAUACUUUCUGCUAUGAUUAUUUAAUAUAUAAUUCAUUUGUCGUAUUUGAUCUAAAAUGUAUCUUGUUCCACGAGUCAUUAUGACUCUAUGAGUCUUAUAUGUAACUUUUAUUCCAUGUAUUAAAACUAUGAUUUUUGUGAUUUUCCGGAGUUAUUACUUUGAUAUAUUUCUUAUUCGUAGCCAUAUCUGAUUUUCAUCCUAAUGCACAUUGGAUUCGG